CGAUUCUGGCUCAGGAUGAACGCUAGCGGCAGGCUUAACACAUGCAAGUCGAGGGGCAUCGGGAGUAGCAAUACUUGCCGGCGACCGGCGCAAGGGUGCGUAACGCGUGAGCAACAUGCCCGUAUCAGGGGGAUAAUCCAUGGAAACGUGGUCUAAUACCCCAUAGUAAUUAUGUAAGGCAUCUUAUAUAAUUUAAAGCUUUGGUGGAUACGGAUUGGCUCGCGUGACAUUAGCUGGAUGGUAAGGUAACGGCUUACCAUGGCUACGAUGUCUAGGGGUUCUGAGAGGAAGGUCCCCCACACUGGAACUGAGACACGGUCCAGACUCCUACGGGAGGCAGCAGUGAGGAAUAUUGGACAAUGGAUGGAAAUCUGAUCCAGCCAUGCCGCGUGCCAGGAAGACGGCCCUAUGGGUUGUAAACUGCUUUUGUAUGGGAGCAAUAAGGGCUACGUGUAGUCCGAUGAGAGUACCAUACGAAUAAGCACCGGCUAACUCCGUGCCAGCCGCGGC
RNAcentral lists this ribosomal RNA (510 nucleotides) under uncultured bacterium. RNAcentral describes it as "bacterial SSU rRNA". It matches the Rfam family "Bacterial small subunit ribosomal RNA", at positions 14 to 518 of the family's 1533-position model. The record is from RNAcentral.